CUCGACAUUUGGUAUUUCUUGUGCUUCGGUAGCAAAACUGAUACAAGGUUCUUUCAUGGAGAACAAUGCCCAACUUUUACUCUUGAAGUUGAUGCCAUGGAAGCAAGCUAAACUGAUAUUGCAGCCAUGUAAUUCCAUUGUUCCACCUAGAACGGUACCAUUCAAUGGUAACGAGAACCGCAGGGUUCCUAACUGCAGACCAGCUACUUGAGAUAAUACACGUUGCCAAUGCCGAUGAUGUCGCGCAUCGGAAACUGCUAUUUGGUUCAACGUGUACCUUCCAUAGUAGAUUUCUUUUUUGGUUGUUUCCGCUUAAAACUGCUAUUAUUCAUUCUUUGAUGUCUUGGCUGCAGUGAGCUAAAAACUCUUUUACUGCUCUUAAAUUGUUGGCUAAAAAAUUCGUCCAACUUGUAGAACAUUUUUAAUAAAUCUGCAGUCGUGGAUUUACUUAUCAUUAUUUGGAGCUGAUCCCAGCCAAGGUCUCCGUGCAUAAAAAUUAUGGCUGGUCU
RNAcentral lists this unclassified non-coding RNA (509 nucleotides) under Athalia rosae (coleseed sawfly). RNAcentral describes it as "misc RNA ENSAEAG00005003205.1". The record is from RNAcentral. Lineage: Eukaryota; Metazoa; Arthropoda; Insecta; Hymenoptera; Athaliidae.